GAUGAAGAACGUAGCGAAAUGCGGUACGUAGUGUGAAUUGCAGAAUUCAGUGAAUCAUCGAAUCUUUGAACGCACAUUGCGCCCUUUGGUAUUCCAAAGGGCAUGCCUGUUCGAGCGUCAUUUGUACCCUCAAGCUUUGCUUGGUGUUGGGCGUCUUGUCUCCAGUCCGCUGGAGACUCGCCUUAAAGUCAUUGGCAGCCGGCCUACUGGUUUCGGAGCGCAGCACAAGUCGCACUCUUUUCCAGCCAAGGUCAGUGUCCAACAAGCCUUUUUUCAACUUUUGACCUCGGAUCAGGUAGGGAUACCCGCUGAACUUAAGCAUAUCAAUAAGCGGAGGA
RNAcentral lists this unclassified non-coding RNA (338 nucleotides) under soil metagenome. RNAcentral describes it as "partial contains 5.8S ribosomal RNA, internal transcribed spacer 2, and large subunit ribosomal RNA". The stretch from base 1 to 120 matches the Rfam family "5.8S ribosomal RNA", at positions 35 to 154 of the family's 154-position model. The record is from RNAcentral.